GUAGAUGCUCAUUCCAUCUCUUAUGCUCGCCAUAUGGCUUCAUAAACCCAGGAAUGACGCAGAGCCGUUUACGGUGCUUAUCGUCCACUGACAGAUGUCGCUUUAGCCUCAUCAGACACCAUGGACAUAACGUUGAGUGAAGCACCCAUUAUGUUGUCGAAUUAAACCUGUUUAACGCCUGCUCCUCAUACGAGCAGGCGUUUUUUU
This 207-nucleotide small RNA is filed under the name Kluyvera cryocrescens. RNAcentral describes it as "GlmZ RNA activator of glmS mRNA". It matches the Rfam family "GlmZ RNA activator of glmS mRNA". From Rfam's summary of the family: This RNA was discovered in E. coli during a large scale screen. The sraJ gene was expressed in early logarithmic phase, but its level decreased with cell growth. Specific cleavage products of this RNA were found. The record is from Rfam by way of RNAcentral. Lineage: Bacteria; Pseudomonadati; Pseudomonadota; Gammaproteobacteria; Enterobacterales; Enterobacteriaceae.